This 79-nucleotide transfer RNA is filed under the name compost metagenome. Its description in RNAcentral is "tRNA-Gln". It matches the Rfam family "tRNA". From Rfam's summary of the family: Transfer RNA (tRNA) molecules are approximately 80 nucleotides in length. Their secondary structure includes four short double-helical elements and three loops (D, anti-codon, and T loops). The record is from RNAcentral.
UAGGGGAGUCGCCAAGCUGGUUAAGGCACCGGAUUUUGAUUCCGGCAUGCGAAGGUUCGAAUCCUUCCUCCCCUGCCCA